Molecule: ribosomal RNA, 214 nt
Filed under: uncultured bacterium
Lineage: Bacteria
Description: partial 16S ribosomal RNA
Rfam family: Bacterial small subunit ribosomal RNA
Source: RNAcentral
CCCAGUUCGGAUCGCAGGCUGCAACCCGCCUGCGUGAAGUUGGAAUCGCUAGUAAUCGCGGAUCAGCAUGCCGCGGUGAAUACGUUCCCGGGCCUUGUACACACCGCCCGUCACACCAUGAGAGUCGGGAACACCCGAAGUCCGUAGCCUAACCGCAAGGGGGGCGCGGCCGAAGGUGGGUUCGAUAAUUGGGGUGAAGUCGUAACAAGGUAAC